This is a long non-coding RNA of Canis lupus familiaris (dog), 1554 nucleotides long. RefSeq lists it as uncharacterized. The transcript has 4 exons. NCBI's taxonomy places the organism in Eukaryota, Metazoa, Chordata, Mammalia, Carnivora, Canidae. The record is from RefSeq and is a predicted model, not a curated record.
GCGAGGCUGGAUCUUGCGAGGGAGGAUUUCACGGGGCCUGGUACUCGCGAGGCUGGAUCUCCCGGGGCCUGGAUCUCUUGGAGCCCGGAGCUUCCGGGGCCAGAUCGCCAGCUGAGCUGAAGCCGAGUGUUGGCCUGCACCCCCCAGGCGCCGGGUCUCUAUUUCUCGGGCUGUGCUUCCUGCAGCAGUGAGGGCCUUGUCCUAUCACAGUGCUCAGAAGGGAGCUUCAGCCGUGUCUGUCUUGGGCCACUGCACAGAUGAUUCCUGCAUUUGAGCGAGGUAUUGAUCUAGUUCUGCUGCAAGGCUCUUUGCUUUAUCAAUGAAUUUUAAACAGAAAACAUCUUGAAGAUGCAGAAGUUAGUGAAUUACCAGGAGCAGAGGCAUUUUCAGAAACAUUCAGGGAAAGGCAGGUUUCAGAGUCUGGAAUGGCGGGACCCAUGCCUACAUCACUAUAUUAUCUAAGUAGCACUUAGUAGAAUACAAAGAAAGAGAAGACAGCUAUAAAUUCUUUUUUUUAUAUUCUCAAGAUGAAGAAGAUUUAAAAUGAAGAUUUAUCUCACACAGCUGUUUUUGUCGCAAGGAAUAGUUUUUUGACUCAUGCUGCCCAAAUUAUUUCAUUAUUGUUAUUGUUAAUUUUAUCUAUUUAAAACAGAAAAUGUUCAAUUGUUAAAAAAAAAAAAAAGAAAAGAAAAUGUUCAGUUGUUGUUGGCUUUCAUCAAUUCAUUAUUUUACGACCCAUUGAGAAGACUGUUUUGCUGCAGAGUUUAAAGGGAGCUGAACAGGCAUUAUGAAAUCAGAAGGAAUUUGAGUAUUUGAAAGCUGGCUGUAUUCUAUUGCCUGGGGGUCUAGAUGAACAUGUCAAAGGAAGGCCUGUAAGACUUCAUCAAGGAAUGGCAUAUGCACGUGUGGAGGUCAUCCAUUAGGCUGCAACAUUAUUGUCAAUCGGUCCUUCAUGAACUGUUGGGUUCCUAUGUAUCAUCUCCAGGAAAGGAAAGAGAAACUUUUCUAGAAUGUUUCACUUGUCAAUGAGGGUGAAUGAUUUUCAGUUGUUUUAUCCCAUGUGUGGUCAUUAUUGAAACAUUUCUAGGCAAGCUCUGGCUGGAUCUCUCCUCACAGUUUGAAGCUGUGAUACUUGUAUCCAUAUUCUGCAACAGCUUGUAAAAUCGUUUUCUGACCAAAUUAGAGUUUUCUAUUGGGAUUGUGUUAUUUCAGGUAAUAAAUAUGGAAUACGUAAAGUAUCACCUGCUAAUUGGCACAGAGAGGGUUUUGAAAAGAUGGAUUUUUCCUUUAAAAAAUACUGAUAAAUAUGUUAACUUUAGUCUUUAUAUUUUUUCUAGUAGUGAUAAGGACUAUGUUGUGUAAUAAGUAGUGUAAAAUAUAUUUUUUGAAGUUCUGAUUUGCUUUCCAGGUGACUUUAUUGUUAACAAUGUGAACAAUCCAUCUUAAAUCCUAUAAACUACAUUAAAAAUACUGAAAUUGCAUGCCAUCAAAGGUAAGGACAUAAAGGAGAAGACUAAUAGUUUGACCACAUCAAAAAAAAAAAAAAAAAAAAAA